This 77-nucleotide transfer RNA is filed under the name Nanobdellota archaeon. RNAcentral's name for it is "tRNA-Asn". It matches the Rfam family "tRNA". Rfam says of the family: Transfer RNA (tRNA) molecules are approximately 80 nucleotides in length. The record is from RNAcentral. Lineage: Archaea; Nanobdellati; Nanobdellota.
GCCUUGAUAGCUCAGUCUGGUGGAGCGUUCGACUGUUAAUCGAGAGGUCGCAGGUUCAAAUCCUGCUCAAGGCGCCA